Cebus imitator (Panamanian white-faced capuchin) is the source of this 2752-nucleotide long non-coding RNA. RefSeq lists it as uncharacterized. The record is from RefSeq and is a predicted model, not a curated record. Lineage: Eukaryota; Metazoa; Chordata; Mammalia; Primates; Cebidae. The transcript is spliced from 3 exons.
AGGUGGAAGAUUUAGUGAGCCGAGAUUGUGCCACUGCACUCCAGCCUGAGUGAUAGAGCAAGACUCUGCCUCAAAACAACAAAAAAAAAAGUGAGAAAAAAAAUAGUUUACCAGGGACCUCUUAGUAAAACACUAAAUUUCCAGUCCAUUUUUUGUGUCUCUAAAAUCUGCUGUAAACAAAUGGUUCUGUGAACUUGUUCUUACCUAGUAUAAAGUUAUGGUAAAAUUACAGUGGAUAGACCCUGUUGAAAAUUUCUGUUGGCCACUCAUUUUGGCAAACCUAUACAGGUUUGUUCAUUCAGUGAGUACUUUUAGAACAUCUACUACAUUUCAGGCGUAGCUAUGGAUACUGCAGAUAGAGACAAUAAGAGGAAGUCCUUGCCCUCAUCGAGCUUACAUUCUCAUGGGGGAAGCAGACAAAAAAGAAGUACUAUGUUUUAUCAUAAAAUUAUUAUAUUAUUUCUAAAAAGCACAAUAAGAAAAAAGAUGAAUUAAGAAAGAGUAAAGGGAGGUGCUAUUUCAGACAUGGCUCAAUUAAGCUUAAAGUGUACAUAUACUGUUGGUACCAUAUAUGGUUAAAAUAAUUCAAUUCCAUCAACAGCUGCAUUGUUAAAUGCCAACAGAUUACAUACAAACUACAGCCUUGCUGGUUUUGCCAAGAGUAGCUUGACUAAACAAGAAUCUGCCAAUAUUAGCAAAGCAUGUUUGAUUCCAUAGAUACCAGAAAAAAGUUUGGUAAUUAAGUCUGCUUAGUAGCCAGACUUGUAAAAAGUGCUGACAGUGUUAGUUUUCAUUUUGUGUGAUAGAUAAAGCCAACCUAGUUGUUGUCCCUGUACGUUUGUUUUUGCACCUAAUGUAUGACAAAGAUUAAUUGAGAUCCACACUUCAUUGUUAUUCAGGAAUGUAGGAAUGAUUGCUACAUCUUAGUCUGUAGCUAGAGAAGAAUCACCGUUUAUGGUACCCAUCAGAGGAGUGUGUCCCACUACAUGCUUAUCUAAGAGUUCUACACAUUCUUAAAUAAUCUUAACUACACAAUCAUAUCAAUAUGAUUUCAUGUAACCAUUUCUCUCGGUUUACGUUUUAAGAUUUUUACAUUUUACUAUAUGUUUUACCUUUUAAGAUACAUUUUACAUUGUAAGAUACAUUUGAGAUUUUAUCUACUGAAUCAGAGUUCAUCAUCAAUCCUUAAUCUGGGAGAAAAAGUUUGAGGGAGUUAAUGGAAAUCAGUCAUUCUAAGAGGUAAGUUAUCCAGUUUUAAGAAUGACAAACACGUAAUUGUUCAAAACUACCUUUUAAAAAGCAUCUAAACUGGACUACCAUUCUUUUAAAAAUAUGUCCCUAUUUCUAUUCUGUAAUAAACUAAACCAAUUUGUUCUCAAUCCCAUUUUCAGGGCCAUGCUUAUUCUAGGAUCCUUUGGUUACAAGGUGGUAUACAGGUUAUGGCAUCAUCACUAAAUACUCCGACACCCAGGCCAGAACCCUUGGAGUCAAGGCCAUAACAAGAAGUCAGCAGUCUGCACACCAGGAAAGAGUCUGCACCAGAGCCCAACAGUGAUGGUGCCCCGCUUUUGGACUUCCAGGCUCCAGAACUGUGAGAAAUAAAUUUCUAUUGUUUAUAAGCCACCGAGUUCAUGGUGCUUUAUUAUAGCAGCCUGAGCUAACUAUGAUAGAUCCUAACCUAUCUUUCUAGCUUUCUUGCCCACAUUUCCUCAUUGAUGUUAACUUUCUGAGCAUGCUAACCAGACUUCCCUGAGGCUUCUCUCAUGCUUUCUAUUCUCCUCUUCAUCCCCUGUUAAUGAAGUGCCCCUGCUUGAAACACCUCUGCCCAAACCAGUCCACUUCGUUUUUUUUCCCCCAAUCCCACUUCUUAAAAACCCUUCCUCAUUCUUUCAGGUCAAAUGAGUUACUCCCCCAUGUCCCUCAUAGCAUUUGCUUAUACCUCACAUUCCCUGCAUUAUGUCAUAGCCUUUGGGGUUGAAGACUUUCUCCCCAAUUACACUACAAGACCUUUAUGAUGAAAGACACAUCUUAUUCACUAGUGUGAAUUCACUACUUAGUAGUAAGUCCACUGAAAUGAAUUUUGCUGAAAUGAAGACAUAAUCACUUGGUCCCAAGUAGAGGCUACCUUUGAAAAUCACCUUGAUGGCCCCUUUCUUCUCUGAACCAGAAGAUCAUCCUUGAUAAAAGGCCAUAUAUUGAAGGAGCAGGUAGUUAUAAGCCACAUGGGACAGGGUGGCUUAGAAACAUAUCAAGAGCUUUUUACUGCAUAAAGCCCAAACUAGGCCAAUUAACUGAAGUGAAAGCAGGAAGAAAGUUUACAGAGUUAUGGACCUUGGUAUAUUCUUAACAAUGUGGAUAUUUUUUCAUUAAAAAGGGGAUCCUAAAUCAUUUUCUGCAUGUGUGUGUAAUCUACAUAGGGCAAAUCUGACAGGACACUAGGAUACCACACAGAAUAAAAUUUAUGUGGUUUAUUUAUUAAAUUAUAUUAUAUAUUUUAAUUGUAUAUUGACAAAUUAUAUUGUAUAUAUUUAUAGGGUACAAAGUGACAUUAUAAUUUUUAAUAUAAUGUGGCAUAAUUAAAUCACAUGAAAUAAUAUAUCCAUCAUCUCAAAUAGCUCACAUUUUUGGUGAUAAGGAGAUUUGAAAUUUACUGUUUUAGUGAUACUGAAAUAUACAGUACUCAGCCAAGUGCAGUGGCUCAUGCCUGUAAUCCUAGCACAUUGGGAGGCCAAGGCGGGCACAUUACCUGAGG